AGAGUUUGAUCCUGGCUCAGAUUGAACGCUGGCGGAAUGCUUUACACAUGCAAGUCGAACGGCAGCACGGGGGCAACCCUGGUGGCGAGUGGCGAACGGGUGAGUAAUACAUCGGAACGUGCCCAGUCGUGGGGGAUAACUACGCGAAAGCGUAGCUAAUACCGCAUACGAUCUACGGAUGAAAGCGGGGGAUCGCAAGACCUCGCGCGAUUGGAGCGGCCGAUGGCAGAUUAGGUAGUUGGUGGGGUAAAGGCUCACCAAGCCGUCGAUCUGUAGCUGGUCUGAGAGGACGACCAGCCACACUGGGACUGAGACACGGCCCAGACUCCUACGGGAGGCAGCAGUGGGGAAUUUUGGACAAUGGGCGAAAGCCUGAUCCAGCCAUUCCGCGUGCAGGAUGAAGGCCCUCGGGUUGUAAACUGCUUUUGUACGGAACGAAAAGCCUUCUUCUAAUACAAGAGGGUCAUGACGGUACCGUAAGAA
RNAcentral lists this ribosomal RNA (483 nucleotides) under uncultured bacterium. RNAcentral's name for it is "bacterial SSU rRNA". It matches the Rfam family "Bacterial small subunit ribosomal RNA", at positions 8 to 486 of the family's 1533-position model. The record is from RNAcentral.